Molecule: ribosomal RNA, 253 nt
Filed under: uncultured bacterium
Lineage: Bacteria
Description: partial 16S ribosomal RNA
Rfam family: Bacterial small subunit ribosomal RNA
Source: RNAcentral
UACGUAGGGUGCGAGCGUUAAUCGGAAUUACUGGGCGUAAAGGGCGCGUAGGCGGCUUAUCAAGUCAGGCGUGAAAUUCCCGGGCUCAACCUGGGGGCUGCGCUUGAUACUGAUUGGCUUGAAUGCGGGAGAGGAUAGUGGAAUUCCCAGUGUAGAGGUGAAAUUCGUAGAUAUUGGGAAGAACACCGGUGGCGAAGGCGGCUAUCUGGCCCGUAAUUGACGCUGAGGCGCGAAAGCGUGGGGAGCAAACAGG